AUCUUAUCAAGAGUGGUUGAGGGACUGGCCCUAUGAAACCCGGCAACAACUAAUUUUCAUUUAAAUUAGUAAUGUGCUAAUUCCAGCAGGAAAUUUUCCUGAAAGAUAAGAG
Molecule: non-coding RNA, 112 nt
Filed under: Clostridium novyi
Lineage: Bacteria; Bacillati; Bacillota; Clostridia; Eubacteriales; Clostridiaceae
Also listed under: 1 other name
Description: SAM-I sequence
Rfam family: SAM riboswitch aptamer (S box leader)
About the family: The SAM riboswitch is found upstream of a number of genes which code for proteins involved in methionine or cysteine biosynthesis in Gram-positive bacteria. The SAM riboswitch acts at the level of transcription termination control.
Source: RNAcentral